GAUGAACGCUGGCGGCGUGCCUAAUACAUGCAAGUCGAGCGAACAGACGAGGAGCUUGCUCCUCUGACGUUACCGGCGGACGGGUGAGUAACACGUGGAUAACCUACCUAUAAGACUGGGAUAACUUCGGGAAACCGGAGCUAAUACCGGAUAAUAUAUUGAACCGCAUGGUUCAAUAGUGAAAGACGGUUUUGCUGUCACUUAUAGAUGGAUCCGCGCCGCAUUAGCUAGUUGGUAAGGUAACGGCUUACCAAGGCGACGAUGCGUAGCCGACCUGAGAGGGUGAUCGGCCACACUGGAACUGAGACACGGUCCAGACUCCUACGGGAGGCAGCAGUAGGGAAUCUUCCGCAAUGGGCGAAAGCCUGACGGAGCAACGCCGCGUGAGUGAUGAAGGUCUUCGGAUCGUAAAACUCUGUUAUUAGGGAAGAACAAAUGUGUAAGUAACUAUGCACGUCUUGACGGUACCUAAUCAGAAAGCCACGGCUAACUACGUG
This 497-nucleotide ribosomal RNA is filed under the name uncultured bacterium. Its description in RNAcentral is "partial 16S ribosomal RNA". It matches the Rfam family "Bacterial small subunit ribosomal RNA", at positions 28 to 507 of the family's 1533-position model. The record is from RNAcentral.